GCGGCUGUGGUCCAGCGGUAUGACAGGGGCUUCCCAAGCCUCUAACCCGGGUUCGAUUCCCGGCAGCCGCA
This 71-nucleotide transfer RNA is filed under the name Methanobacteriota archaeon. Its description in RNAcentral is "Euryarchaeota archaeon (groundwater metagenome) tRNA-Gly". It matches the Rfam family "tRNA". Rfam says of the family: Transfer RNA (tRNA) molecules are approximately 80 nucleotides in length. The record is from RNAcentral. Lineage: Archaea; Methanobacteriati; Methanobacteriota. RNAcentral also lists the same sequence under 1 other name.